UAAUUUUAACAAUAAUUUUAGAGAUAUGUCUGUCACGCCCCGCAAGAAGCCGCAUGCAGUGGGGGUAGUUGGAGGAGGUGGAGGCGGACAAAAUAUACAAGUUUUCGUCAGGUGUCGUCCGUUGAACAGUUCUGAGAAAGCUGCCAGAUCCUACAGUGUCGUA
Molecule: long non-coding RNA, 163 nt
Organism: Eurytemora carolleeae
Lineage: Eukaryota; Metazoa; Arthropoda; Copepoda; Calanoida; Temoridae
Exons: 2
Source: RefSeq, a predicted model, not a curated record